This 590-nucleotide ribosomal RNA is filed under the name Carabus macrocephalus cantabricus. RNAcentral describes it as "partial large subunit ribosomal RNA". It matches the Rfam family "Bacterial large subunit ribosomal RNA", at positions 1921 to 2748 of the family's 2925-position model. Lineage: Eukaryota; Metazoa; Arthropoda; Insecta; Coleoptera; Carabidae. RNAcentral also lists the same sequence under 1 other name. The record is from RNAcentral.
UUUUAAAUGGCCGCAGUAUUUUGACUGUGCAAAGGUAGCAUAAUCAUUAGUUUUUUAAUUAAAAGCUUGUAUGAAAGGCUGGACGAGGUAAAAUCUGUCUCUAUUUAAAUUAAAAUAGAAUUUAACUUUUAAGUUAAAAGGCUUAAAUAUUAUUAAAAGACGAGAAGACCCUAUAGAUCUUUAUAAUUUAUUAAAUUAAAUUAAUUUAGAAAUAUUAAUGUUUUAUUUGAUUAAAUUAUUUUAUUGGGGUAAUAAAAAGAUUGAAUUAAUUCUUUUUUAUAAUAAACAUUAAUUUAUGAAUAUUGAUGAUCCAGUUUUACUGAUUAUAAGAUUAAGUUACCUUAGGGAUAACAGCGUAAUUUUUUUAGAGAGUUCAUAUCGAUAAAAAAGUUUGCGACCUCGAUGUUGGAUUAAAGAUUAUUUUAGGUGUAGAAGCUUAAUAAUUUUGGUCUGUUCGACCAUUAAAUCUUUACAUGAUCUGAGUUCAGACCGGCGUAAGCCAGGUCGGUUUCUAUCUUUAAUAAAAUAAAAUAUUUUAGUACGAAAGGACCAAAUAUUUGAUAUAUUUAUAUUUAAUUUAUUGAAUAUUA